This 492-nucleotide ribosomal RNA is filed under the name uncultured bacterium. Its description in RNAcentral is "partial 16S ribosomal RNA". It matches the Rfam family "Bacterial small subunit ribosomal RNA", at positions 29 to 507 of the family's 1533-position model. The record is from RNAcentral.
AGUGAACGCUGGCGGUAGGCCUAACACAUGCAAGUCGAACGGCAGCACAGUAAGAGCUUGCUCUUACGGGUGGCGAGUGGCGGACGGGUGCGGAAUACAUCGGAAUCUACUUUUUCGUGGGGGAUAACGUAGGGAAACUUACGCUAAUACCGCAUACGACCUACGGGUGAAAGCAGGGGAUCUUCGGACCUUGCGCGAUUCAAUGAGCCGAUGUCGGAUUAGCUAGUUGGCGGGGUAAAGGCCCACCAAGGCGACGAUCCGUAGCUGGUCUGAGAGGAGGAUCAGCGACACUGGAACUGAGACACGGUCCCGACUCCUACGGGAGGCAGCAGUGGGGAAUAUUGGACAAUGGGCGCAAGCCUGAUCCAGCCAUACCGCGUGGGUGAAGAAGGCCUUCGGGUUGUAAAGCCCUUUUGUUGGGAAAGAAAAGCAGCAGGUUAAUACCCCGCUGUUCUGACGGUACCCAAAGAAUAAGCACCGGCUAACUUCGUG